This is a non-coding RNA of Sus scrofa (pig), 840 nucleotides long. Lineage: Eukaryota; Metazoa; Chordata; Mammalia; Artiodactyla; Suidae. The record is from RefSeq and is a predicted model, not a curated record.
UAUGGCAAGAGGGUCAAACUCACCCUAUGGCAAGAGGGUCAAACUCUUCAGCGUGUCAUUCAAGGCAUUCUGUGAUGUCACCUGCUCUCCAGCUUUCUCUCCUGCCGCCCUUGGCUCUCCCACCACCAACCAAACGGAGCCAUUUCUCAUUCCUCACGGCUGUCUUGGUCCUUCUCCUUCCAAUGUCCUUUCCUCUAAUUUCGACAGGCUCCCAUCCUGCCUACCCGCCUCAGGAUCCCUCGAAAGCCCUUUCUCCCCAAGGAACCAUGCCUACCCGCUCGGUCAGAAUUGAACUCUUCCUUUUCUGAGUUUCAAGAAGACUUGAUCAGCACUUCUGUCACAGGAAAUGCCAUUUUCACUCUCGUGUUGAAACGACCUCUAUGCAUAUGCCAUCUCGCUCCUCGUGGGUUUUCGGUUUCUCUACGGCCUGGGUCAUGGUCAGCUUUCUUCCUCCUCGGCAUGUAACCUUGCAUCUAGAAGUUCAACCUGCGUCUUACUCUUCAAAGCAGCUGGACCUGGUGGUGGUAACAGCCCCUCUCAGACCUUCCCACAAUGAUCCUCAGGUUUUCAGAAGAACUGAAAUAUUUUCAUGGCCCUAAACCCUGUGCCUGAUACGGAGGCCAAGUCUGGGGCCCAGGUGUCAGAAGAGGAAACGGAUGGUCAGAGAACGAGCUCUCAGUGGAGAAGGGACGGGGCUGGGACCCGAGCCCGGGCCAAGUGUGAAAGUAGUUCGAGACGUCUUCCCGUCUGCCCGGAGCCCAGAGCCCGCGGCUCCAGCCAGGUUGUGCUCCCGGAUCAAUUCCGGCCGCCCUCUGCGCCCCGCCCCUCCGUCCAGGCCCC